This 423-nucleotide ribosomal RNA is filed under the name Triticum aestivum (bread wheat). RNAcentral describes it as "partial small subunit ribosomal RNA". The record is from RNAcentral. Lineage: Eukaryota; Viridiplantae; Streptophyta; Magnoliopsida; Poales; Poaceae.
CAUAUCCCCAAGAGGGAGCACAAACGUGCGCUCAGGGACGUCUAUGCGAUAGAGCCAGUCGCCCCAAAAUUCAACCAAUGGUCGUCCUGCCCGAUCACCUUUGAUCGCAGGGACCAUCCGACCAGUAUCCGUCAUGGCGGUUCAGCCGCAGUGGUCCUUGACCCAAUCAUUGAUGGAUUCCACCUCACGCGACUCCUCAUGGACGGUGGAAGCAGCCUCAACCUGCUCUAUCAGGAUACAGUCCACAAAAUGGGCAUCGAUCCAUCAAGGAUCAAGCCCACAAAAACUACCUUUAAAGGAGUAAUACUAGGUGUAGAGGCCUGCUGCACGGGUUCAAUCACAUUGGAAGUUGUCUUCGGAUGCCCGGACAACUUCCGAAGCGAAGACUUGAUCUUCGACAUCGUCCCCUUCCGCAGUGGCUAU